GACGAACGCUGGCGGCGUGCUUAACACAUGCAAGUCGAGCGGUAAGGCCCUUUCGGGGUACGACGAGCGGCGAACGGGUAGGAGUAACAACGUGGGUGGACCUCGCCCUCCAGCUCUGGGAGUAAGACCUCGGGAAACGUAGGGUCGUAAUAACUGGAGUAAUGACUCCACCGGUGGCAUGUCGUGGGGUGGGAAAGACCUU
Molecule: ribosomal RNA, 202 nt
Filed under: uncultured bacterium
Lineage: Bacteria
Description: partial 16S ribosomal RNA
Source: RNAcentral